RNAcentral lists this ribosomal RNA (634 nucleotides) under Microbacterium sp. So2Pt_38. RNAcentral describes it as "bacterial SSU rRNA". It matches the Rfam family "Bacterial small subunit ribosomal RNA", at positions 379 to 1024 of the family's 1533-position model. Lineage: Bacteria; Bacillati; Actinomycetota; Actinomycetes; Micrococcales; Microbacteriaceae. The record is from RNAcentral.
GAGCCUGAUGCAGCAACGCCGCGUGAGGGAUGACGGCCUUCGGGUUGUAAACCUCUUUUAGCAAGGAAGAAGCGAAAGUGACGGUACUUGCAGAAAAAGCGCCGGCUAACUACGUGCCAGCAGCCGCGGUAAUACGUAGGGCGCAAGCGUUAUCCGGAAUUAUUGGGCGUAAAGAGCUCGUAGGCGGUUUGUCGCGUCUGCUGUGAAAUCCCGAGGCUCAACCUCGGGCCUGCAGUGGGUACGGGCAGACUAGAGUGCGGUAGGGGAGAUUGGAAUUCCUGGUGUAGCGGUGGAAUGCGCAGAUAUCAGGAGGAACACCGAUGGCGAAGGCAGAUCUCUGGGCCGUAACUGACGCUGAGGAGCGAAAGGGUGGGGAGCAAACAGGCUUAGAUACCCUGGUAGUCCACCCCGUAAACGUUGGGAACUAGUUGUGGGGUCCUUUCCACGGAUUCCGUGACGCAGCUAACGCAUUAAGUUCCCCGCCUGGGGAGUACGGCCGCAAGGCUAAAACUCAAAGGAAUUGACGGGGACCCGCACAAGCGGCGGAGCAUGCGGAUUAAUUCGAUGCAACGCGAAGAACCUUACCAAGGCUUGACAUACACGAGAACACUCUAGAAAUAGGGGACUCUUUGGA